Molecule: unclassified non-coding RNA, 332 nt
Filed under: Hevea brasiliensis (rubber tree)
Lineage: Eukaryota; Viridiplantae; Streptophyta; Magnoliopsida; Malpighiales; Euphorbiaceae
Source: RNAcentral
AGCAAGGAUACCCACCAUCAGGUUAUCCACCUGCUGGUGGGUACCCUCCCACAGGGUACCCUGGUUCGUCUGCUCAUCACCAAGGACAUGGAUCUGGACUAGGGAUGGGGACAGUUCUAGCUGGCGGUGCGGCUGCAGCUGCUGCUGUGUAUGGUGCUCAUCAGUUAUCACAUGGUCAUGGGCACGGGCACGGGCACGGUCAUUCAGGGCACGGUUAUCCGGCGUACGGGGGUUACCAAGGUUAUGGUGGGCAUGGUCACCAUCACGGGAAGUUCAAGCACCAUGGCCACCACGGCAAAUUCAAGCACGGGAAGUUCAAGCAUGGGAAGUUU